Molecule: long non-coding RNA, 1370 nt
Filed under: Oreochromis niloticus (Nile tilapia)
Lineage: Eukaryota; Metazoa; Chordata; Actinopteri; Cichliformes; Cichlidae
Description: lncRNA (ENSONIG00000037818.1)
Source: RNAcentral
CAGUUGUUUUGCAUAUAAACUCUCACUAGGUGGCAGUGCACUUCUAUGCAUGCAAAUCACUUCGAGUUUCCCUGUGCUGUGUUUGCACUCGGUGUUUGAAGAGAUAAAUCAGUGAGGAUUUGCACCACCUCUCUGUGCAUCUGUUGCUGUUUGAUGCAGUUGAUUCUUCUGCCUUUGUGCUCCUUCGCCCCUUCGCCUUCUUCAUCAGAGCAGCAGCUUCGCGUAGACCCCCACCCCUUCAAUUAGACUGAGAGCUCUUUGAGUUAAAGUAAAACUAAUGAUGCUCAUUUCCAGCAGCACACCACAGCAGUUUGGUCUCCAUUUCUGGCAUUCGGGAUUUGAUUUUGAUGAAACGGGCUCAAAUGUUUCGUUUUUGGUGACUGUAGACAAAACCAGGAAGGGAACAGGAGAAUGAGGAGCCGUGGCCUGCAGGUACUUGCAGUAUGAGACGAGGCUCACGCCUUGGCCAAAUUUCCCCUAAAAACGAUGCUCUUGAAUUUAGUAGCACUGACAGGUUGGAAAAAAAAGGUCAGCUAAAAAGAAGCUAAAAUGAAUAAAUCAUAUUCACUUACUUCAAAGGUUUUAUAGUGUCAUUUGUGGAGCUUUGGACCUGAAUGUAAAUGAGACCCACAGACUAAUGCAUGAGGUCUGACAGACAUAAAAGAAAUGUUAUUAAGAGAGAACAACGCUGAAAUCAAUAGAGUGAACUUGAAACACGUUGGAAUACAUUUGCAACAAUGUGAUAAUUAGUGCACCGAGCUCAUAUCUGCAGCCUGAAAUCCCUUCAUUAUUGUCCGCAUCAUUUCUGAGAUCUUUUUCAAAACUAUAAUGGUCGGAUGAGUCUUCAGAUGAGAGAUGAGAUGAGUUCAGUUGCGGUGCAUAAACGGUUUUGUUUUUGAUAUGCAGAGAGGGAGCAUUGAGGCCUGCUAGCGUUACAAAGCUCACAGCAGCAGCCUCAUUGUGUGUGAAAUUAUCAUAAACUCGUGCUACCUUCAGAGUCCUGAAAGAUCAGGCUUUGAGCAGUCGCUAAGAGCUUCACUUUAUGGGAAAUGCAAAUGGCUGUGUCUGCAAAUUGGAUUCUCAUAAAAAUAAAAUAGAAGAAGUGUCGAAAAACUGGCAAACACUUUGACACCAAUAAAAGAUGACAGUCUGCAGUGGUGAAACUAACAGCUCGGGCUACACAACGGUAUCAACAAACAUUUGAAAACUGUAAAACCUGAGGAGCUUUAUGUAUUACUACGUGUUCUCCAUUAAGGCCUGCCUCGGCUGAGGAGAGGCCAGCGAGCGGCUGGCAUCUUCUGCUGAUUGAUAUACUACAGCGAACCAUAUGGACACUGUGUUAAUCGAAUGAAGGAGACAUCUGUGAGAUG